This 448-nucleotide ribosomal RNA is filed under the name uncultured bacterium. Its description in RNAcentral is "bacterial SSU rRNA". It matches the Rfam family "Bacterial small subunit ribosomal RNA", at positions 329 to 794 of the family's 1533-position model. The record is from RNAcentral.
AGCCAGACUCCUACGGGAGGCAGCAGUGGGGAAUAUUGCACAAUGGGGGAAACCCUGAUGCAGCGACGCCGCGUGAGCGAUGAAGUAUUUCGGUAUGUAAAGCUCUAUCAGCAGGGAAGAAGAUGACGGUACCUGACUAAGAAGCCCCGGCUAACUACGUGCCAGCAGCCGCGGUAAUACGUAGGGGGCAAGCGUUAUCCGGAUUUACUGGGUGUAAAGGGAGCGUAGACGGCGAUGCAAGCCAGAUGUGAAAGCCCGGGGCUCAACCCCGGGACUGCAUUUGGAACUGUGUGGCUGGAGUGUCGGAGAGGCAGGCGGAAUUCCUAGUGUAGCGGUGAAAUGCGUAGAUAUUAGGAGGAACACCAGUGGCGAAGGCGGCCUGCUGGACGAUGACUGACGUUGAGGCUCGAAAGCGUGGGGAGCAAACAGGAUUAGAUACCCCAGUACC